GUGGGGAAUUUUGGACAAUGGGCGCAAGCCUGAUCCAGCAAUGCCGCGUGUGUGAAGAAGGCCUUCGGGUUGUAAAGCACUUUUGUCCGGAAAGAAAUCUCCUGGGUUAAUACCUCGGGGGGAUGACGGUACCGGAAGAAUAAGCACCGGCUAACUACGUGCCAGCAGCCGCGGUAAUACGUAGGGUGCGAGCGUUAAUCGGAAUUACUGGGCGUAAAGCGUGCGCAGGCGGCUAUGCAGGACAGAUGUGAAAUCCCCGGGCUCAACCUGGGAACUGCAUUUGUGACUGCAAGGCUAGAGUGCGUCAGAGGGAGGUGGAAUUCCGCGUGUAGCAGUGAAAUGCGUAGAGAUGCGGAGGAACACCGAUGGCGAAGGCAGCCUCCUGGGAUGACACUGACGCUCAUGCACGAAAGCGUGGGGAGCAAACAGGAUUAGAAACCCCAGUAGUCC
This 450-nucleotide ribosomal RNA is filed under the name uncultured bacterium. Its description in RNAcentral is "partial 16S ribosomal RNA". It matches the Rfam family "Bacterial small subunit ribosomal RNA", at positions 354 to 796 of the family's 1533-position model. The record is from RNAcentral.